CUGAACGACUCUCGGCAACGGAUAUCUCGGCUCUUGCAUCGAUGAAGAACGUAGCGAAAUGCGAUACUUGGUGUGAAUUGCAGAAUCCCGUGAACCAUCGAGUCUUUGAACGCAAGUUGCGCCUGAAGCCAUUAGGCUGAAGGCACGUCUGCCUGGGCGUCACGC
This 165-nucleotide ribosomal RNA is filed under the name Pyrola picta. RNAcentral describes it as "5.8S ribosomal RNA". It matches the Rfam family "5.8S ribosomal RNA". Rfam says of the family: 5.8S ribosomal RNA (5.8S rRNA) is a component of the large subunit of the eukaryotic ribosome. It is transcribed by RNA polymerase I as part of the 45S precursor that also contains 18S and 28S rRNA. RNAcentral also lists the same sequence under 2 other names. The record is from RNAcentral. Lineage: Eukaryota; Viridiplantae; Streptophyta; Magnoliopsida; Ericales; Ericaceae.